UACAGAGGUGGCAAGCGUUGUUCGGAAUUACUGGGCGUAAAGGGCGCGUAGGCGGCCCGCUAAGUCGAACGUGAAAUCCCCGAGCUCAACUCGGGAACUGCGUCCGAUACUGGUGGGCUUGAAUCCGGGAGAGGGAUGCGGAAUUCCAGGUGUAGCGGUGAAAUGCGUAGAUAUCUGGAGGAACACCGGUGGCGAAGGCGGCAUCCUGGACCGGCAUUGACGCUGAGGCGCGAAAGCUAGGGGAGCAAACGGG
Molecule: ribosomal RNA, 253 nt
Filed under: uncultured bacterium
Lineage: Bacteria
Description: partial 16S ribosomal RNA
Rfam family: Bacterial small subunit ribosomal RNA
Source: RNAcentral